RNAcentral lists this ribosomal RNA (297 nucleotides) under Triticum aestivum (bread wheat). RNAcentral describes it as "partial small subunit ribosomal RNA". The record is from RNAcentral. Lineage: Eukaryota; Viridiplantae; Streptophyta; Magnoliopsida; Poales; Poaceae.
AUGCGGGUUCUGGACCUCGGGGUUUAUGACGCAGUGCUUGGCGUCGAUUGGCUAGCGCAGCACAGCCCAAUGAAGUGUGACUGGAAACAGAAAACAGUGCAGUUUGAACGAGAGGGACAAACAGUGCACCUGACCGGCGUCCGAUCGGACGAGCCACCAACACUAACUGCCCUCAAUGCAGCGACUCUCUGGCAGAUGCAUGACGCUAAUGAGAUUUUGGGUGCUGCCCUCUUGGAAAUUCAUGUGAACCCAGCUUCAGACUCUGACGGAACACAACCACCACCCAUGGCGAUUUAG